GUCCAUGCCGUAAACGAUGUCUACUAGCCGUUGGGGCCUUUGAGGCUUUAGUGGCGCAGCUAACGCGAUAAGUAGACCGCCUGGGGAGUACGGUCGCAAGGUUAAAACUCAAAUGAAUUGACGGGGGCCCGCACAAGCGGUGGAGCAUGUGGUUUAAUUCGAUGCAACGCGAAGAACCUUACCUGGUCUUGACAUAGUAAGAACUUUUCCAGAGAUGGAUUGGUGCCUUCGGGAGCUUACAUACAGGUGCUGCAUGGCUGUCGU
RNAcentral lists this ribosomal RNA (264 nucleotides) under uncultured bacterium. Its description in RNAcentral is "partial 16S ribosomal RNA". It matches the Rfam family "Bacterial small subunit ribosomal RNA", at positions 793 to 1055 of the family's 1533-position model. The record is from RNAcentral.